GCAGGGCGAGCGCGGAGACGGACUCAGCCGCCGCGCCGUGGUGGGUAAAAUAUUUGGAGUACCUUUUAAUGCAUUGCCCCAUUCUGUUGUACCAGAGUAUGGACACAUUCCAAGUUUUCUUGUUGAUGCUUGCACAUCUCUAGAAGAGCAUAUUCAUACAGAAGGGCUUUUUAGGAAAUCAGGAUCUGUUAUUCGUCUAAAAGCGUUAAAG
Myotis lucifugus (little brown bat) is the source of this 211-nucleotide long non-coding RNA. RefSeq lists it as uncharacterized. The record is from RefSeq and is a predicted model, not a curated record. The transcript is spliced from 3 exons. Lineage: Eukaryota; Metazoa; Chordata; Mammalia; Chiroptera; Vespertilionidae.